Oncorhynchus gorbuscha (pink salmon) is the source of this 459-nucleotide long non-coding RNA. RefSeq lists it as uncharacterized. The transcript has 3 exons. Lineage: Eukaryota; Metazoa; Chordata; Actinopteri; Salmoniformes; Salmonidae. The record is from RefSeq and is a predicted model, not a curated record.
CCUUUAGCCCUGACUCUGACCCAUCUCUGAGGUCAACGAGAAGGAGUACGGUAAGAGAUGACCGCGACCUUUAGCCCUGACUCUGACCCAUCUCUGAGGUCAACGAGAAGGAGUACGGUAAGAGAUGACCGCGACCUUUAGCCCUGACUCUGACCCAUCUCUGAGGUCAACGAGAAGGAGUACGGUAAGAGAUGACCCCGACCUUUAACUCUGACCCAUCUCUGAGGUCAACGAGAAGGAGUACGGUAAGAGAUGACCCCGACCUUUAACCCUGACUCUGACCCAUCUCUGAGGUCAACGAGAAGGAGUACGGUAAGAGAUGACCCUGGUCCCGACCUUUAACCCUGACUCUGAACCCAUCUCUGAGAUCAACGAGAAGGAGUACGGUAAGAGAUGACCCCGACCUUUAACCCUGACUCUGACCCAUCUCUGAGGUCAACGAGAAGGAGUAUGGUAAGA